UGGGACUUUGUCUGGAUAUGGUCUCCUGC
RNAcentral lists this non-coding RNA (29 nucleotides) under Mus musculus (house mouse). The record is from RNAcentral. Lineage: Eukaryota; Metazoa; Chordata; Mammalia; Rodentia; Muridae. RNAcentral also lists the same sequence under 1 other name.